Molecule: small nuclear RNA, 123 nt
Organism: Dipodomys ordii (Ord's kangaroo rat)
Lineage: Eukaryota; Metazoa; Chordata; Mammalia; Rodentia; Heteromyidae
Source: Ensembl
AAUAAGAGCUUCUGCUGUGAGUGGUGUUUACGUGGCAGUGGGACUGCUUGCUGUGCAGAAUCCACUUGAAGAGAUUUUGGAAGCAUAAGUUUCUGUGUGUGGGGAGCAGGUCCCUGUGCCCUC